UCUGGUAAUUCUUUUCUCCAUUUCUUGAUCACCAUAGAAAAGUUUCAAACCUUCCUAACGCCCAUUGGCAGAAGAGGAACAGAAAAGAUAAAUAGCUAGGAUUGUUUCUUUGAAAGAGGAUAAGUAAAAGAUCCUCUUUUAGACUUUAUAUAAAUUAGAUAAAUUUGUCUUCAUCCUGACCAACUGUCAAAAAUUUUACUAUAUGUGAGACUAUGGCUCAAAUGGGUAUGGUUAACUUUCAGAAAGGAAGUUGAAGCACCUGCUCUGCUCUUAAUUAUAAGAUGGAUGAAAAUAAAUCAAUAACACAUAGUUUAGGUAAAGCUUGGUAAUGUCAGUUUUUCUAAUGAUAGUCAAAUAAUUCAUUGUUUUGUGCCUCUUGCCCAUCAGAACCUUAGUAAUCUGCACAUGAAAAAUAGUUGCAAAAGAAAUGAAGUUAUAUCUGAGUCCCCCAGAACUAAAAUAAUUCCUUGCAGCCAGAUAGAGUUGGAUAGGGUGUCCCUCUGUUCUGCUUUGUUUUGUUAAUUUUGCCUAUGUUCCAGCUCCUCACCAUAGUGGUGGUGCCUAAAGAAAGGGCCAUCAGCAGCAAACAGGUCAGGAUAGUAGUGACUUAGAGAUAGAGCUGCUUUCCCUAUGUGAGUAUUUCCAUGACUGUUGGUGGCUCUAAAGACUGCAGAUCUUUAUGCAAUAUUCUCAAUACCCUAAUGAUAUUAUGCACUUUAAUCAUUCCAAAGAAGUGAAAAAUGCUGUAUAGUGAUGAUUCCUUUUGAUGAAUACAUUUUAACUGUUUAGAAUAUUUAUGUCCCUUUUUAUUUUGGAUAGCCAACUUGGUAUGUUAUGGGAAUAUUUUCUAAAAUGACUGUAUAGUAGGACUUACUAAGGCUUUGAGAUGUAACUGACUAUAAGGGGAAAUGAUUACACUUCAGAAAAUCAUUUUAGAAACAUUAAAAUGUUCAGCUUGCUAAUCUAUGUGUUCGAGAGUUAAUUAACCAGCUUUCUUCCUAUAUUUUUUUCAUAUUAAUAACAUAGUAUAUAGUUUUCUACAUGUAUGUAUAAAC
Molecule: long non-coding RNA, 1055 nt
Filed under: Bos taurus (domestic cattle)
Lineage: Eukaryota; Metazoa; Chordata; Mammalia; Artiodactyla; Bovidae
Description: long non-coding RNA NONBTAT009279
Source: RNAcentral